RNAcentral lists this unclassified non-coding RNA (2571 nucleotides) under Hevea brasiliensis (rubber tree). Lineage: Eukaryota; Viridiplantae; Streptophyta; Magnoliopsida; Malpighiales; Euphorbiaceae. The record is from RNAcentral.
UAAAAAAAUAAUAAUAAAAAAAAGCAAUAAAAUGAUGCCAUCAUCUAAGAGGACCCAUGGCAACAGCAUCUGGCCUUCACAAAUUUCUCUUGCUCUGCCUCAGACCCUCUGAUUGUAUACAACAGAAAAAAGAAAAACAUUAUGCAGAAAAUACAUAUUCUCAAUAGAACAUCAAUAUGGCUUGCAAUUCUGGAGGUGAAUGCACAGAGAAUGUUGACCAAUAGAAUUUAUGGAUGAAACUCAGAAGCUCCUCCUAAGAAUUUUGAAUUUCAAAUGGCCGAAAGGAGCCAACUCAAAGUCAAACAACACUAUUCACUACUUCACCUUGACUCCUUAUCCAGUCUAGAAUAUCAGAACAAUCAUUACGGCUGACAAAAUGCCUAUUUUUAGGGCGAUAAGUCUUCAGUUGAAGAUUUUCCCGUUCAUUAGAUGUAACUUUUUUCAUUCUAAGUGAUUCGGGAACAACCAAAGUUCCGGUUUGAUCAUGAUAUGCAUUAUAAAUAAAGUUAAGCACCUUUUCCAGGGGCUUAGAAGCAUCAAGCCAAUGAUAGAUGUGCUCAUUACGAAACCAUGUCAUUUGCCUUUUUGCAAAAUUUCUGGAAGCUUUCUGAAAUUCAGAUAGAAAAGCAUAAAAUUCUCCUGCAGAACUCCUACCCCCUUGUUCCCUACACUUUAAAAGGUACUCCAUAGCUUGUCUGUAACCAAUUGCACGAGUUGCAGAGUUAGAAUUUGGAAGAAGGCCUGUGUCAAGAAGCCAUUUGGCCUCAGACAAAAUUCCAUCAGUUUCUGAAAGCAUAUAUUCACAUCGGUAAUCAAUUGAUCUAUAGAGAUCAAGUCUAGGGCUCGAGAGGAAAAAACAAAUGAAUUCAUAGUCCAAAUCUUUUGGUUUAACUUCCUCAGAUACAUCAAGAGAUGAAUGCACAUUCUGAGAAUCCUCUGUUAAACUUGUACCUAAUUCUUCCUUGAAAGAAUCAAAUGGAACUUGAAAAGCAGAUGGAGGAGAUCCACUGGCCUUGAUUAUCUCAAGGCUGCGUCGUAAUCUGUACCAAUCAUUGGCGGCCAAAAAUUGAGCCUUUGGAUCACCUGCUUUGACUACUAACUUUACAGCUUCAUCCCAGUCCUCAUUCUUCUGCAAUUCUGCAAGCUCAGAAUAUGCUUCAGAUACAAUAUCUGGUGAGGCUUUUGGAACAUCUGGCUUUCCGUAUAUGAACCAUCGCAAAUACAAUCCAGUCCCACCAGCAACUACAGGAACACGACCAUUGUCCAAAAUAUCUCGUGUAGCUUGCCUUGCAUCCUCAAAAAAUUGUCCGACUGAAUAAUCUUCAGAUGGGUGUAAUAUGUCAAUCAGAUGGUGUGGCACUUCCUGCAAAAAUAAUGAGGGUGAAUAUUACGACUGGACAUAGAAAAUAAUAUUUAUAAAUCAAGUUAUGGUUCUCAUUGAUAUGCCAACAAAAACAAUAUGGACUGUGUAUCUUAAUUUCCUGAAAAAUAAACUCCAUCUGAGACAAAUUGGCACGUUUAGCAGAUAACACAGGUAGCAUUGUUGCUUGAGAACUACUCCAAUGGGCAAGAAUAUGAAAAGAUUGCACCAAAACACAGAUGGAAAAUUGCUUCCAAAUUUUCGUUACUUUUUCCAACUUUGGAAUGAAUUCAUUCAAAAUUUUAAUUGCAGAAAAAUGUUAGACUUCAGUCAUCUUAUAAAUUGAAAUUUGACUCUUUAGUCAAUCAUGCAAUACAACUUUCUAAUGCUACAAAGCUGUGAUACACACAAGUUCAAAAGGUAAAAUGCCCAAGAUUGCCACUAAAAUAUGUGUUAUUCUCUUUUCAUCUCUCACGUUGCACAUACAUGAAAACUCCCAUCACAUCCAUCAAAUAAUAGGUAGAUCUGAAAUGGACGCACCCAUCAAUGUAGUGUUUAAAGCUGCAUUUCAUUCACUCAGAUAAAUAAAAUAUAACUUCAUGACAAGCACAAAUGCCAAAAUCCAGUUAACCUAACAUUUGAUGGGCAACAGAUGAAAAAGGAGAACAUUUGAAAUAACAUGAACUACAUGUUGACUUGUGAUGCUUUUAAUUCCAUCAAGAAAUGAAAUUUAACAACAGAGGCAAACACUAGGAACAACACAAUAUCUAUCUAGUAGAGACCCUUCUUUCACUUGGGGAAGGCUUGGCAGAUCCAACAUCAAGACCACGAUACACCUGGACGGAGUCGGCGCUGAUGAUUUCCCCGUUGAGCCGCUUGGCGAGCUCCAACGCAAGUCGGGUCUUACCGGAUCCGGUGGGACCAGAAAUAACAACAACCUUCUCUUUCUUGUCUUUCUUGUUCCCGAGGGAAACGGAGGAAGUGGUGGAGGCGAACAAGCGCCGGCGAGGCAGUGGGGGUGGAGAGGGGAGGAGGAAGCGGAGGCAGCGUGUACAGAGGCCACAGAGUUCGCUCAUUAUCAUUUUGUAUGGAAGAGAUUAUUGAUAACAGAUAGAAAAAUGGGCUUCAGCGGCUGAAGCUGUCCACUCGAAAAUGGACGGUGAGGUCGAAAGCCAGUUGAAGCAGAGGAGGCACGCUAAGGUUUAAGGUGA